Musa acuminata AAA Group (dessert banana) is the source of this 563-nucleotide long non-coding RNA. RefSeq lists it as uncharacterized. The transcript is spliced from 2 exons. NCBI's taxonomy places the organism in Eukaryota, Viridiplantae, Streptophyta, Magnoliopsida, Zingiberales, Musaceae. The record is from RefSeq and is a predicted model, not a curated record.
CCAUAGGAGAGCCCGAAACGGUUAAACAGGCGUUUCCCGGUCUGGGGGGUACGCGGCGUUUGUUAACGACCGGUGAACGGCAGGAAUCAUCACACUGAGAGGGACCAUCGGCCAUGGCAGCGGGAAGGGGGGAGUCGGGAAGGCAGCAAGAAGGCGAAGAAGGCAAGGCAGAUAGAGUAAGCCAGGCGGUGUAGUCGACCUCCAAUCUUCCUACCCAGGUUUGCAGGUCGAUGUCGAAAGCUUUCUGGAGAGUGAGCUGGAUGAUGAGGUGGUCAUGCCCUCGGGAAGGAGUGCUGGUUGGCGCGGGUCGGGGUCCGAGGCGAUUGACGACUUUCCUUUGCACGGUGGGUGGUGAUCCCUGGGUUGAGGCGCUCGUCGCUCGCGGACGACCGUUUGCCUGGAAAAAAUAGCCCUCGUCGGGUGAUCUCCGGCUGUGUCCCCUCCGACAAGCAAGUUAGUAGUGAGAUGGAUUGUUUUCUCUUUUUUGGUCGGAUGUCGGCCAGAGGUUUUAUACUGUUGUAUGAGGGUCGGUAGCACUUUGAUUCGACGUGGUCGUUGCCUCU